CCUACGGGAGGCAGCAGUGAGGAAUAUUGGUCAAUGGCCGGAAGGCUGAACCAGCCAUGCCGCGUGAAGGUCAGUGCCCUAUGGGCGUUAAACUUCUUUUGUGCGGGAGCAAUAAUGGUCACGUGUGGCCAGACGAGAGUACCGUACGAAUAAGCAUCGGCUAACUCCGUGCCAGCAGCCGCGGUAAUACGGGGGAUGCAAGCGUUAUCCGGAUUUAUUGGGUUUAAAGGGUGCGUAGGCUGUGAGGUAAGUCAGCGGUGAAAUGCCCCCGCUCAACGGGGUGAAGUGCCAUUGAUACUGCCUUGCUGGAAUGCGGAUGCCGUGGGAGGAAUGUGUGGUGUAGCGGUGACAUGCAUAGAUAUCACACAGAACACCGAUUGCGAAGGCAUCUCACGAAUCCGCGAUUAACGCUGAUGCACGAAAGCGUGGGUAUCAAACAGGAUUAGAUACCCUAGUAGUC
This 460-nucleotide ribosomal RNA is filed under the name uncultured bacterium. RNAcentral's name for it is "partial 16S ribosomal RNA". It matches the Rfam family "Bacterial small subunit ribosomal RNA", at positions 338 to 795 of the family's 1533-position model. The record is from RNAcentral.